RNAcentral lists this ribosomal RNA (465 nucleotides) under uncultured bacterium. RNAcentral's name for it is "partial 16S ribosomal RNA". It matches the Rfam family "Bacterial small subunit ribosomal RNA", at positions 28 to 507 of the family's 1533-position model. The record is from RNAcentral.
GACGAACGCUGGCGGCGUGCUUAACACAUGCAAGUCGAACGGAAAGGCCCUGCUUGCAGGGUACUCGAGUGGCGAACGGGUGAGUAACACGUGGGUGAUCUGCCCUGCACUUCGGGAUAAGCCUGGGAAACUGGGUCUAAUACCGGAUAGGAGCCAUUUUUAGUGUGAUGGUUGGAAAGUUUUUUCGGUGUAGGAUGAGCUCGCGGCCUAUCAGCUUGUUGGUGGGGUAAUGGCCUACCAAGGCGGCGACGGGUAGCCGGCCUGAGAGGGUGGACGGCCACAUUGGGACUGAGAUACGGCCCAGACUCCUACGGGAGGCAGCAGUGGGGAAUAUUGCACAAUGGGCGCAGGCCUGAUGCAGCGACGCCGCGUGGGGGAUGACGGCCUUCGGGUUGUAAACUCCUUUCGCUAGGGACGAAGCUUUUUGUGACGGUACCUAGAUAAGAAGCACCGGCUAACUACGUG